RNAcentral lists this ribosomal RNA (253 nucleotides) under uncultured bacterium. RNAcentral describes it as "partial 16S ribosomal RNA". It matches the Rfam family "Bacterial small subunit ribosomal RNA", at positions 524 to 776 of the family's 1533-position model. The record is from RNAcentral.
UACGGGGGGGGUAAGCGUUGUCCGGAAUUACUGGGCGUAAAGGGCUCGUAGGCGGCCAACUAAGUCAGACGUGAAAUCCCUCAGCUUAACUGGGGAACUGCGUCUGAUACUGGAUGGCUUGGAUUCGGGAGAGGAAUGCGGAAUUCCAGGUGUAGCGGUGAAAUGCGUAGAUAUCUGGAGGAACACCGGUGGCGAAGGCGGCAUUCUGGACCGACAUUGACGCUGAGGAGCGAAAGCCAGGGGAGCAAACGGG